GGCUAAGCUAUUAAGGGCGUAUGGGGGAUGUCUUGGCAUCAGAUGGCGAUGAAGGGCGUGGAAGACUGCGAUAAUCUUGGGGAAGUUGUCAAACGAGCGUUGAUCCCGAGGUUCCUGAAUUAUCAUACACUGAAUACAUAGGUGUAUGAGGCACACGCGGUGAACUGAAACAUCUCAGUAACCGCAGGAAAGGAAAGCAACAGCGACUUCGUUAGUAGCGGCGAGCGAAAGCGAAUCUAGCCUAAACCGUCUUGCUUCGGCAUGACGGGGUUGUGGGGCUUGUCAUUGUGGAGUUACAAAACUGUUUGCUAGAAGAAUUCGUUGGAAAGCGAAACCAUAGAGGGUGACAGUCCCGUAUUCGAAAGUAAUCAGACUUCCGACAAGUACCCGAGUAGGUCCGGCCACGUGGAAUCCGGACUGAAUCUGGGAGGUCCAUCUCCUAAGGCUAAGUAUUCUCUGAUGACCGAUAGUGAAAAGUAGGGUGACCGAAAGAUGAAAAGAACCCCUGUUAGGGGAGGGAAAGAACCUGAAACCAUACGCUUACAAGCUGUCGGAGCACUAUUAUCUUCGGAUAAGUGUGACGGCGUGCCUUUU
RNAcentral lists this ribosomal RNA (594 nucleotides) under Planctomycetaceae bacterium. Its description in RNAcentral is "partial 23S ribosomal RNA". It matches the Rfam family "Bacterial large subunit ribosomal RNA", at positions 1 to 609 of the family's 2925-position model. The record is from RNAcentral. Lineage: Bacteria; Pseudomonadati; Planctomycetota; Planctomycetia; Planctomycetales; Planctomycetaceae.